Molecule: ribosomal RNA, 1413 nt
Filed under: metagenome
Description: bacterial SSU rRNA
Rfam family: Archaeal small subunit ribosomal RNA
Source: RNAcentral
ACCUGUUGAUCCUGCAGGAGGUUGCUGCUAUCUGAGUUCGACUAAGCCAUGCAAGUCAGAUCGUAAGAUCGGCGAAAUGCUCAGUAACACGUAGUUAAUCUGCCAUAUGGUGGAGGAUAACCUUGGAAACCUGAGGGUAAAGCUCCAUAAGGAAUACAAUUUGGAAUAAUGUAUUCCUGAAACGUAAGGCCAUAUGAUGAGACUGCGGUGGAUUAGGUUGUUGGUAGGGUAAUGGCCUACCAAGCCUGCGAUCCAUACGGGCCUUGGAAGAGGUAACCCGGAGAGGGACACUGAGAUACUGGUCCCAGCCCUACGGGGUGCAGCAGGCGCGAAACCUUUACAAUGCACGAAAGUGUGAUAGGGGAACUCAGAGUGCUCAUACAAUGUAUGGGCUUUUGCCAAGUUAAAACCGCUUGGCGAAUAAGUGGUGGGAAAGACUGGUGCCAGCCGCCGCGGUAACCCCAGCGCCACGAGUGGGAACCGGUAUUAUUGGGCCUAAAGCGUCCGUAGCAGGUUUAGUUAAUUAUUUGUGAAAUCGCAUGGCUCAACCAUGCGGAUUGCAGGUAACACUGCUAGACUAGAGACCGGGAGACGUCGAGAGUAUUCAAAGGGGAGCGGUAAAAUGCGAGAAUCCUUUGAAGACUACCUGUGGCGAAGGCGCUCGACAAUAACGGGUCUGACUGUGAGGGACGAAAGCUAGGGGAGCGAACCGGAUUAGAUACCCGAGUAGUCCUAGCCCUAAACGCUGUGAGUUAGGUGUUGCGCAAUCUUCGGGAUUGUGCAGUAUCGUAGAGAAGUCGUUAAACUCACCGCCUGGGAAGUACGGCCGCAAGACUGAAACUUAAAGGAAUUGGCGGGGGAGCACUACAAGGGGUGCGGCGUGCGGUUUAAUCGAAUUCAACGCCGAAAAUCUCACCAGAGGCGACGGCAGGAUGAAAGACAGUCUAACGGGCUUUCUUGACGAGCCGAGAGGUAGUGCAUGGCCAUCGUCAGCUCGUAUCGUGAGAUGUCCUGUUAAGUCAGGUAACGAGCAAGACCUGCAUCUAUAAUUGCCAGCGGCUGUUCUACAGGACCGGGCACAUUAUAGGGACUGCCUUGGAAACAAGGAGGAAGGUGCAGGCAACGGUAGGUCUGUAUGCUCCGAAUCUUCUGGGCUACACGCGCGCAACAAUGGUUAGGACAAUGGGAUGCAACUCCGAAAGGAGAAGCUAAUCCUCGAAACCUGAUCUAAGUCUAGAUUGAGGGUUGUAACUCACCCUCAUGACACCGGAAUCCCUAGUAAUUGGAAUUCAUCAUGUUCCAGUGAAUAUGUCCCUGCUCUUUGUACACACCGCCCGUCAAACCAACCGAGCAUAGCUUGAGUGAGCCUUAGUUCAUGUAAUUGAGUCAAACUUAAGUUAAGUGAGGUGGGUU